This 482-nucleotide ribosomal RNA is filed under the name uncultured bacterium. Its description in RNAcentral is "partial 16S ribosomal RNA". It matches the Rfam family "Bacterial small subunit ribosomal RNA", at positions 30 to 507 of the family's 1533-position model. The record is from RNAcentral.
AUUGAACGCUGGCGGCAUGCUUUACACAUGCAAGUCGAACGGUAACAGGCCGCAAGGUGCUGACGAGUGGCGAACGGGUGAGUAAUGCAUCGGAACGUGCCCAGUCGUGGGGGAUAACUACUCGAAAGAGUAGCUAAUACCGCAUACGAUCUAUGGAUGAAAGCGGGGGACCGUAAGGCCUCGCGCGAUUGGAGCGGCCGAUGUCAGAUUAGGUAGUUGGUGUGGUAAAGGCUCACCAAGCCAACGAUCUGUAGCUGGUCUGAGAGGACGACCAGCCACACUGGAACUGAGACACGGCCCAGACUCCUACGGGAGGCAGCAGUGGGGAAUUUUAGACAAUGGGCGCAAGCCUGAUCCAGCAAUGCCGCGUGCAGGAAGAAGGCCUUCGGGUUGUAAACUGCUUUUGUACGGAACGAAACGGCUCUGGUUAAUACCCGGGGCUAAUGACGGUACCGUAAGAAUAAGCACCGGCUAACUACGUG